AGGACCAACUUCCUCGCAGCUUUGCUGAAACUGCACAAAAAAGGCAACCGGGGGGCGGCGGGGGGGGGGGGGGGCUGGUUAUUUUUUGUUAUUUUCUUUUCCUCCGGUUAAAAGGCGAAGCUUCCCACACACGCACGCUACUGGAAGAUUAUUUCUAUUUUUUUUUCUUUUUUUUUUUCCUCGCUGUCUCGUACGCUGGCACGGUCCUGAGAGUGGCUAUUUUGCUUUUGCACCGAGAGAAAAGCUUCCCGCCCCCUCCUCUUCUGACAAUCCAUCAUUCUAGAGGGACAGCCUGCCGGAAACAGGGAAGAGGCACAUGGAAAUGGAGAGAAAAGAAUUGUAAUGGAAGGUGCUGAGUUGGAUGACUGAAGUCUUCAUCAAAUAAGAAAGUGCCCUUCUUGCACUGAGAAGUUUCUCGCUGCUUAAGCAGACACGUUGAAGCUUAUGGAGGAAGUCUACACACUGACUACUAACCUGUAAUGAAAGCCAAUGCAGGAACUCCAGGACCAAAACCUAUACUUGAAGCUCAAUCGGGGCUGUGAAUCCCUGAGAAAUAGGGAAGAAGACUCUUCUCUUCAGUUUGCAGCCCCUGCUGUGGUUAAAAAGAUCAGCUACAAGUCCUUGCCUUCUGAGCAGCAGGACCAGCCACAGCCUGCUGAGCUCACAGUUCACAGGGUGAUGGCUGCUGUAAUCCAACAGCCACUGCCGCUCUUUGCUGAUAGAUCUCGCUGAACAGCGGGGUCAGCGAUAACUGGCCUCUGUGACAGCCACGGCUCCUGGAUCACCACAGGUCCUGCUGUGAAAUCCUUCUGCAACUCUUCAGGGUCAGCACUAGGUCUGACUCCAACUGAAUGUUUUCCUUUUACCAUCUGCAGUCUUUAUCACUGCACUUUUUCAGCCCAUGUAGGAACGGGUGGACCAGCAAAGGUGCCAGUGCAAACCUUUGUUAGGUGGCAUUGUUAGAAUUGCCCAUUAGCUGCCAUACUGUUCCCUAGCUUGUAACACUUUAUUAAUCCACAAAGAAUUUUAAUUAACUCAAUAUUUCAUUCUGCUAACAGUCUUCAGUUAUGGAGCUUUCGGGUCACCCUUCUCUGUGUAUCUGUUGACUCCUUCAAAUAACACCAAGGCUUUAAGACAAAACUACCUUGUACAAAAGCCAGAAUGAUGGUUGCCUCUUACACCUACCCGUGUUCCUAUUAAUUAUAUUCUUUAUCACAUCCGCUGGCAUUUUAUCUGUCACAGUAGUCAGACUUAUUGGCCCACAAUCACCCCUAGGGCCCUUUUUAAAACUAGCAUCAAAUUUGUUACUUCCAUUCCUCAGUAAUCAAGGCUAAUUUAAUUGAUAGAUUAUACAAUGCAGUUCAUGGCCCAUGAUUUAAUUUCUGAAUUUCUCCAGGACUACUGAAUGAACAAAAUGCUAUCUGGCAAUCUGUUAAUGUUUAUUCAAUCAAUUUCUUCAAAAAUCCUUUAUCGAUCUCUAAAAACUGAAAUAUUCCCUAUAAAGAACAAAUUUCACAUGCAGAUGUCCCUAAUUUCCCUUUAAUAAACCUUGCCAAUGGAAAUAAGUUCAUUUGUUUAAUUCUGCGAUGGCUUUGUCUUUAAAUAUUCUCUUUAUCCACGUUAUCUAUUGAACUCUCCUUCCCAGUAGCAAGAUUUACACUUAAAAAAAAAGUUUUUUGGCUUUUAGGAUUUUAUCCUGUUGCAUUUAAAAAUCUUUUUGUCCUGCCUUAUAAUAGUUCUACAUUUAACUUGCCAGAAUUGUGCUCUUUUCUGCUUUGCUUGUACAGAUUUCAUUUUUUGAAAAACCUCUAUUUAUUUCUAGUAACUUCCUUUACUGUUCAGUUGUGUUAGAUAAUUCUUACUUAUUUGGGUUAGAAUCAGAAAGCAAAUUCUGUGUCACUUUUAGUGUUUAUUUAGACUGUAUCUUCAUUUGUAUGCAAUUGUUUUUAAAACAAUACUGGACUCUUUCUCACCUACAUGUAUGAGAAACCUGAGUAUGAUACAUUGCUACUGAAUGGCUCUCCUAUAGUCUGUUCUUGAGUGCUAAUCUAGAUUAAAUCAAGGGCUCUCCAAUGAAUUCUUUAGCUGGUUUGCUCAAAAUGUAGUUCUUGAUCAUACCUAAAAAUACAGCCUGUGCAUGGUGCCCUAAUGUUAACUUUAUCCAAUCUACACAUAGAUAACUAAGAACUUGUUAUGAUCAAGCUUUCCGGUUGUAUAGCCUGACCAGUAUUUCACAGUCCCUGCCUCCAUCCCAUCAACUAGUUCUGAGCUCUUACUAGACUUCUCCCACUCAGAUGCAGAGCCAUUUGUACUUAUGUUUUGUGGCUUAUUCUGAUAAAAUCAACUUAUUUGACCAUAUUUUCUUUGGUAUAUGCAGCGCCAUUUGUCUGCAUAGUCCAAUCUACCAUCUCUGUAUCAGCUAGGCACUAAACAUUCUAUUAUCUCUAUAUAAUCUCUCCACUGACGUUUCAGUGUCCCUUUGAAAAAAAGAUACAUUUAGACCCAUUUCCAGAAAGAGGAUGGUGACAUACCUGAGGAAUUCCUGAUGGAAUUCAUGCUUACCACACUUCUGAAGAAUCAUUACCUUCAAGGCACAAAGGAAACGGAGCACUAGGAGAUAGCAAUGUAGCAAGAUACAAAGUCAAAAUUGGUGUAGGUUUCUUCUCAACAGUGAUCUGAUGGCAUUUGAAAAGGGACGGACCAACAGUAUGGCUGCAACAACUCCCUGUGGUUACGCAAGGUUUCUGUCCAAGAGAUGCUGUGUCACAAAGGGAAUGCACUAAGGAGCAGAAGGAUGCUAUGGAAGUAUAAGAAGUCCUUUAACCUUUUACACACGUGGCGGAACUUUGUAAUACUCGCAUUUACUCCCUUCUGUGACAAGGGAGAGUCUGUUCUUUACUGCUGUGGAGAAGAGAGGGAUGCUUUCAGGAUACAACGCCAGAAGCUAUUGACUUGGGUUUGACAGCCGAGAGGGCCCCUAGGGCUAGCAUGUUAUCUAUUGGCUGCAACUCACUUCUUUCCCUUUUGCGAGGCCUCUAGUUGGAGCACCUCCUUUCUGCACUAAAUAUGAUGUGGUGUAAGUCACAGCAGAAUCACUGCCGUAUCCGGUGGAUAUUCACUACUAUUUAUUGGUAUUACCAUAAAUCUUGGGAGGCCUCACACCAGACCACUUCUCAUUAUGCUGGGCCAUGAAUAAACACACAACAAAAAUUAAGAUGUGCUUGAAUUCUACCUAAAGAGACAACAGAGAAAUUAUAGCAGAGUAUGGGUGCAAUGACACAGUACUAUUGUGAUAAGCAGUGCAUUAAUAUACCUGCAAUAUAACUGUUGUCUAGUUGGAUUGUUUUAAGCUUCACAGUACAUAAAACUUUAAGAAGAUAUUUAAAGGAAGAUAGUGAACAGUUCUGUUUAUGAAGAUGUCAACCAAUACAUGACAGGCAGCUGAGGAGAAAAUAUCCAGUGUAGUCUGAAAAUUUAAUGAUCGAGCGAUGGAAGCUGGCAUAUGGUGCAUAUGUUGAUCAAAACAAGAGUCAACAUCUUGAUACUGAAGAAGAGGUAUCAGGUAGAAGUAGUCUU
Long non-coding RNA from Cuculus canorus (common cuckoo), 3576 nucleotides. RefSeq lists it as uncharacterized. NCBI's taxonomy places the organism in Eukaryota, Metazoa, Chordata, Aves, Cuculiformes, Cuculidae. The transcript has 5 exons. The record is from RefSeq and is a predicted model, not a curated record.